This 832-nucleotide long non-coding RNA is filed under the name Homo sapiens (human). RNAcentral's name for it is "HSALNT0396607". Lineage: Eukaryota; Metazoa; Chordata; Mammalia; Primates; Hominidae. The record is from RNAcentral.
CUGUUUUUCUUUUAAAAUCCCAGGUUGCCUACUCAAAAGACUAAAGGCCAGAAAGCUUAUGAAAUGUUAAAUUUUAAAAUAAUUGUUAUUAUAGUGUUUCCAUUUGUGAACAACAUAUAUGUGUGUAUGAAUAAAAUUUAUAAAUGGACAUAACCUUAUACACAAGAUUUAAAAUAACCCCUGGGCACAUGUGGGCCCAACCCAGAGAUAGCCCUUCCUGAAAUGACUGGAGCCAAGAGCCUGUCACGCUCGCGGUAUUCAGUGCAAGGUCUGAUCGCGUCUUCUGUCACUCAAGGCCUGAGGGCGCGGAGCCUGGAGCUCUAUCCAUUAAGGGCGCUGGGGUGGGAACUGUCCAAUCAGGUUCACAGUCAGAGAGGAAGGGGUGGCUCCCGGUACCUGGCGGGGCCUUUGUCUCUUGCUCCAGCCAGAGCUCGAGGUUAGCUCUUCACUGCCCUGUGUCUUCUUUCCAAGGGUCUCGGUGAUUCGGCCACAGCCUCAGCCUCCAUCACGCGGUGAACUGAUGGUGCUGGAAGAUUCAUAGACUCCAGGACAUUCCUGAAGCCGAGAAAAGGUUAAGUAGGGUCUGGCCUGGAAUACUCUCCUAGAUGAAGAUAGCCCAACCAUGAGCCACCUUCGAAGCAGAUGAGAUGAAAUUAAAGCUCUUCAACUCCUAAAGGCCCAGAGACUAUCACAAAAGAGGUCAGAAAUCCUGAAGGUCACUUUCUGACAAACUCAGGAACCCCAGGUUUAUCUUGGAGCCUCAAGAGGAGAUAAAUUCACCCAACUCAGAGUUUUGCUCUUGGUGCCCAGGCUGGAGUGCAUUGGCACGAUC